CCUACGGGAGGCAGCAGUGAGGAAUAUUGGUCAAUGGGCGCGAGCCUGAACCAGCCAAGUAGCGUGAAGGAUGACUGCCCUACGGGUUGUAAACUUCUUUUAUAAAGGAAUAAAGUGAGGCACUUGUGCCUUUUUGUAUGUACUUUAUGAAUAAGGAUCGGCUAACUCAGUGCCAGCAGCCGCGGUAAUACGGAGGAUCCGAGCGUUAUCCGGAUUUAUUGGGUUUAAAGGGAGCGUAGAUGGGUUGUUAAGUCAGUUGUGAAAGUUUCGGGCUCAACCGUAAAAUUGCAAUUGAUACUGGCAGUCUUGAGUACAGUUGAGGUAGGCGGAAUUCGUGGUGUAGCGGUGAAAUGCGUAGAUAUCACGAAGAACUCCGAUUGCGAAGGCAGCUUACUAAACUGACACUGACAUUGAUGCGCGAAAGUGUGGGUAGCAAACAGGAUUAGAUACCCGUGUAGUC
Molecule: ribosomal RNA, 460 nt
Filed under: uncultured bacterium
Lineage: Bacteria
Description: partial 16S ribosomal RNA
Rfam family: Bacterial small subunit ribosomal RNA
Source: RNAcentral